CCCCCCCCCCCCCGUUAUUUACCCCUGACCGCAAGACAACCUUACGGAGGAAACGCUGAGGGCAACAACUGGACACAACUCGUUGGUCGAGGUUUGAAAAAUAAAUAAACUUUUAAAAACGCACAAACCUGGCUGGAGACAAGGCAGGAGCUCAGCUACACUGAACUGUAGUCUGGGACUUGGGGACUGAUCUGGUCUGGACUUGCUCUGGUCUGGACUAUCUCUGAUCUGGACUAUCUCUGAUCUGGACUAUCUCUGGUCUGGACUAGCUCUGGUCUGGACUAGCUCUGGUCUGGACUAUCUCUGGUCUGGACUAUCUCUGGUCUGGACUAUCUCUGAUCUGGACUAUCUCUGGUCUGGACUAUCUCUGGUCUGGACUAUCUCUGGUCUGGACUAUCUCUGGUCUGAAUCCCCACCUACCAGAUGUUACUGUACCUACCUUCCCUGUCCUUACUAGCAUGUCACCCUUACAAGCCUAACUCCGCUCUCAAAAAGGAAUGACACAAGGCAGUCCUGAUUGGUCGACCCCUCAGACUCUGACCGUUGAAGUUUAGCUAGCGUAGGCAGUAUGACCUCUGACCUGGGCAGUGAGUGAAGAGAACUCGCCGACAGCGUCGUGCCGGGUCAACUAAUGACGAGACGAUGGAAGAAAGAAGAAAAAAAAAACUGAAAAUUAACCCUUCAGAUUCUGUAGCUCAUAUAUAUCUACUUCCUUUACACUGCCCUCUAGUGUCUGUAUGCUGUCUCUCUUUACUCCUUUAAAUCUCACUCCUUCUUCUUCUUCUCCUUGUGAACCUUCCUCUUUCCCUCUAUCGUUCAGUGAGAGAGGACAUGGUGGGUUUAACGCUAUUUUUAAACCAUUACGGGGGGGGGGGGGGAAACGAGAAAUACCACAAAUCUUCCUGAUUCAGUGACAAGAAAAGCUCUUAGUUUGCAACUCCUGAAACUUUAAAAUAUUGUAAUGUUUUGUGAACAGAGGAGUUAUGCUUUAUGAGCAAAAUAUCUGAAGAAAAAUAUUUAUUUAAAUUUAAAACAUAUUUUAGUUAGAUUUCCCUUUUCCCCAAAUGGUAUGGUCCUUCGUUAGUUUGCAGCCUAGACACAUAGAAACAGUAUGUCUGCCCCAAACCCAGUGAGACUCAUAGUAAGUCAACUCAUAUUGAGUGUGAAUAGUCUGCUAUUGCAAGGCCGAGGGAUGGGUGGGGCUAGAGAUAUUACACAUGGGAUCCAAAUCUAAUCAUAACAGGGUAACCAUGGUGACCAUGGUCUCACACUGAUCCUCAGCCAGACCUCCUGUAAAUAUCGAAAUAUGAACAACCAGCAGCAUUAUAGUUCGCUAGGCGCUACUUUCCCCCACCCCUUACACAGAUAUAGGACACUAGCAUAGAGGUGGUUAGAUACAGGACACUAGCAUAGAGGUGGUUAGAUACAGGACACUACCAUAGAGGUGGUUAGAUACAGGACACUAGCAUAGAGGUGGUUAGAUACAGGACACCACCAUAGAGGUGGUUAGAUACAGGACACUAGCAUAGAGGUGGUUAGAUACAGGACAAUACCAUAGAGGUGGUUAGAUAAAUGACACUACCAUAGAGGUGGUUAGAUACAGGACACCAGGAUAGAGGUGGUUAGAUACAGGACACUACCAUAGAGGUGGUUAGAUACAGGACACUACCAUAGAGGUGGUUAGAUACAGGACACUAGCAUAGAGGUGGUUAGAUACAGGACACUAGCAUAGAGGUGGUUAGAUACAGGACACUAGCAUAGAGGUGGUUAGAUACAGGACACUAGCAUAGAGGUGGUUAGAUACAGGACACCACCAUAGAGGUGGUUAGAUACAGGACACUAGCAUAGAGGUGGUUAGAUACAGGACACCACCAUAGAGGUGGUUAGAUACAGGACACUACCAUAGAGGUGGUUAGAUACAGGACUAUACCAUAGAGGUGGUUAGAUACAGGACAAUACCAUAGAGGUGGUUAGAUACAGGACACUAGCAUAGAGGUGGUUAGAUACAGGACACUAGCAUAAAGGUGGUUAGAUACAGGACACUAGCAUAGAGGUGGUUAGAUACAGGACACUACCGUAGAGGUGGUUAGAUACAGGACACUAGCAUAGAGGUGGUUAGAUAAAGGACCAGAGCACAGAGGUGGUUAGAUACAGGACAUUACCAUAGAGGUGGUUAGAUACAGGACACCACCACAGAGGUGGUUAGAUACAGGACACUAGCACAGAGGUGGUUAGAUACAGGACAUUACCAUAGAGGUGGUUAGAUACAGGACACUAGCAUAGAGGUGGUUAGAUACAGGACACUAGCAUAGAGGUGGUUAGAUACAGGACACUAGCAUAGAGGUGGUUAGAUACAGGACAUUACCAUAGAGGUGGUUAGAUACAGGACACUAGCAUAGAGGUGGUUAGAUGCAGGACACUAGCAUAGAGGUGGUUAGAUACAGGACACUACCAUAGAGGUGGUUAGAUACAGGACACUAGCAUAGAGGUGGUUAGAUACAGGACACUAGCAUAGAGGUGGUUAGAUACAGGACACUAGCAUAGAGGUGGUUAGAUACAGGACAAUACCAUAGAGGUGGUUAGAUACAGGACAAUACCAUAGAGGUGGUUAGAUACAGGACACUACCAUAGAGGUGGUUAGAUACAGGACACUAGUAUAGAGGUGGUUAGAUACAGGACAAUACCAUAGAGGUGGUUAGAUACAGGACACUAGCAUAGAGGUGGUUAGAUACAGGACACUAGCAUAGAGGUGGUUAGAUACAGGACACCACCACAGAGGUGGUUAGAUACAGGACACUAGUAUAGAGGUGGGUAGACACAGGACACUACCAUAGAGGUGGUUAGAUACAGGACACUAGCAUAGAGGUGGUUAGAUACAGGACUAUACCAUAGAGGUGGUUAGAUACAGGACAUUACCAUAGAGGUGGUUAAAUACAGGACACCACCACAGAGGUGGUUAGAUACAGGACACUAGCACAGAGGUGGUUAGAUACAGGACAUUACCAUAGAGGUGGUUAGAUACAGGACACUAGCAUAGAGGUGGUUAGAUACAGGACACUAGCAUAGAGGUGGUUAGAUACAGGACACUAGCAUAGAGGUGGUUAGAUACAGGACACUAGCAUAGAGGUGGUUAGAUACAGGACACUAGCAUAGAGGUGGUUAGAUACAGGACACUAGCAUAGAGGUGGUUAGAUACAGGACACUAGCAUAGAGGUGGUUAGAUACAGGACACUAGCAUAGAGGUGGUUAGAUACAGGACACUAGCAUAGAGGUGGUUAGAUACAGGACAAUACAAUAGAGGUGGUUAGAUACAGGACACUAGCAUAGAGGUGGUUAGAUACAGGACAAUACCAUAGAGGUGGUUAGAUACAGGACACUACCAUAGAGGUGGUUAGAUACAGGACACUACCAUAGAAGUGGUUAGAUACAGGACUAUACCAUAGAGGUGGUUAGAUACAGGACACUAGCAUAGAGGUGGUUAGAUACAGGACACUAGCAUAGAGGUGGUUAGAUACAGGACAAUACCAUAGAAGUGGUUAGAUACAGGACACUAGCAUAUAGGUGGUUAGAUACAGGACACUAGCAUAGAGGUGGGUAGACACAGGACACUACCAUAGAGGUGGGUAGACACAGGACACUACCAUAGAGGUGGUUAGAUACAGGACAAUAGCAUAGAGAUGGUUAGAUAAAGGACACUAGCAUAGAGGUGGUUAGAUACAGGACACUACCAUAGAGGUGGUUAGAUACAGGACACUAGCAUAGAGGUGGUUAGAUACAGGACACUAGCAUAGAGGUGGUUAGAUACAGGACAAUACCAUAGAGGUGGUUAGAUACAGGACACUAGCAUAGAGGUGGUUAGAUACAGGACACUAGCAUAGAGGUGGUUAGAUACAGGACACCACCACAGAGGUGGUUAGAUACAGGACACUACCAUAGAGGUGGGUAGACACAGGACACUACCAUAGAGGUGGUUAGAUACAGGACACUACCAUAGAGGUGGUUAGAUACAGGACACUACCAUAGAGGUGGUUAGAUACAGGACACUACCAUAGAGGUGGUUAGAUACAGGACACUAGCAUAGAGGUGGUUAGAUACAGGAAACUAGUAUAGAGGUGGUUAGAUACAGAACACUAGCAUAGAGGUGGUUAGAUACAGGACAGUAGCAUAGAGGUGGUUACAUACAGGACACUAGCAUAGAGGUGGUUAGAUACAGGACACUAGCAUAGAGGUGGUUAGAUACAGGACACUAGCAUAGAGGUGGUUAGAUACAGGACAAUACCAUAGAGGUGGUUAGAUACAGGACUAUACCAUAGAGGUGGUUAGAUACAGGACACUACCAUAGAGGUGGUUAGAUACAGGACACUACCAUAGAGGUGGUUAGAUACAGGACUAUACCAUAGAGGUGGUUAGAUACAGGACACUAGCAUAGAGGUGGUUAGAUACAGGACACUAGCAUAGAGGUGGUUAGAUACAGGACACUAGCAUAGAGGUGGUUAGAUACAGGACAAUACAAUAGAGGUGGUUAGAUACAGGACACUAGCAUAGAGGUGGUUAGAUACAGGACAAUACCAUAGAGGUGGUUAGAUACAGGACACUACCAUAGAGGUGGUUAGAUACAGGACACUACCAUAGAAGUGGUUAGAUACAGGACUAUACCAUAGAGGUGGUUAGAUACAGGACACUAGCAUAGAGGUGGUUAGAUACAGGACACUAGCAUAGAGGUGGUUAGAUACAGGACAAUACCAUAGAAGUGGUUAGAUACAGGGCACUAGCAUAUAGGUGGUUAGAUACAGGACACUAGCAUAGAGGUGGGUAGACACAGGACACUACCAUAGAGGUGGGUAGACACAGGACACUACCAUAGAGGUGGUUAGAUACAGGACAAUAGCAUAGAGAUGGUUAGAUAAAGGACACUAGCAUAGAGGUGGUUAGAUACAGGACACUACCAUAGAGGUGGUUAGAUACAGGACACUAGCAUAGAGGUGGUUAGAUACAGGACACUAGCAUAGAGGUGGUUAGAUACAGGACACUAGCAUAGAGGUGGUUAGAUACAGGACAAUACCAUAGAGGUGGUUAGAUACAGGACAAUACCAUAGAGGUGGUUAGAUACAGGACACUACCAUAGAGGUGGUUAGAUACAGGACACUAGUAUAGAGGUGGUUAGAUACAGGACAAUACCAUAGAGGUGGUUAUAUACAGGACACUAGCAUAGAGGUGGUUAGAUACAGGACACUAGCAUAGAGGUGGUUAGAUACAGGACACCACCACAGAGGUGGUUAGAUACAGGACACUACCAUAGAGGUGGGUAGACACAGGACACUACCAUAGAGGUGGUUAGAUACAGGACACUACCAUAGAGGUGGUUAGAUACAGGACACUACCAUAGAGGUGGUUAGAUACAGGACACUACCAUAGAGGUGGUUAGAUACAGGACACUGCCAUAGAGGUGGUUAGAUACAGGACACUAGCAUAGAGGUGAUUAGAUACAGGACACUACCAUAGAGGUGGUUAGAUACAGUGCUAUACCAUAGAGGUGGUUAGAUACAGGACACUAGCAUAGACGUGAUUAGAUACAGGACACUACCAUAGAGGUGGUUAGAUACAGUGCUAUACCAUAGAGGUGGUUAGAUACAGGACACUACCAUAGAGGUGGUUAGAUACAGGACACUAGCAUAGAGGUGGUUAGAUACAGGACACUAGUAUAGAGGUGGUUAGAUACAGAACACUACCAUAGAGGUGGUUAGAUACAGGACACUAGUAUAGAGGUGGUUAGAUACAGGACACUAGCAUAGAGGUGGUUAGAUACAGGACACUAGCAUAGAGGUGGUUAGAUACAGGACACUAGCAUAGAGGUGGUUAGAUACAGGACACUAGCAUAGAGGUGGUUAGAUACAGGACACUAGCAUAGAGGUGGUUAGAUACAGGACACUAGCAUAGAGGUGGUUAGAUACAGGACACUAGCAUAGAGGUGGUUAGAUACAGGACACUAGCAUAGAGGUGGUUAGAUACAGGACACUAGUAUAGAGGUGGUUAGAUACAGGACACUAGCAUAGAGAUGGUUAGAUACAGGACACUAGCAUAGAGGUGGUUAGAUACAGGACACUAGCAUAGAGGUGGUUAGAUACAGGACACUAGCAUAGAGGUGGUUAGAUACAGGACAUUACCAUAGAGGUGGUUAGAUACAGGACAAUACCAUUGAGGUGGUUAGAUACAGGACACUACCAUAGAGGUGGUUAGAUACAGGACACUACCAUAGAGGUGGUUAGAUACAGGACACCAACAUAGAGGUGGUUAGAUACAGGACACCAACAUAGAGGUGGUUAGAUACAGGACACUAGCAUAGAGGUGGUUAGAUAAAGGACACUAGCAUAGAGGUGGUUAGAUAAAGGACACUAGCAUAGAGGUGGUUAGAUACAGGACACUACCAUAGAGGUGGUUAGAUACAGGACACUAGCAUAGAGGUGGUUAGAUACAGGACACUAGCAUAGAGGUGGUUAGAUACAGGACACUAGCAUAGAGGUGGUUAGAUACAGGACACUAGCAUAGAGGUGGUUAGAUACAGGACACUAGCAUAGAGGUGGUUAGAUACAGGACAUUACCAUAGAGGUGGUUAGAGUUCAGUAGGCCCGUAACCUGUCUCUAAAGUCCACUACAACCUUUGAUGUACAGUAAUGAUAUGAUCCACUGUCGGAGUAUAUGCCAACAUCAUGUUUUCUUUGUCAUUGUAUUCUUAGAAAUAACUCAAGGAGAUGUAACCUAUUAUUGGAUAGUGAAACCUACUGCUGUGUUGUACAGAUACUUUUAGGCUACACAGACUCUGCACUACAGUCCCAGGAACAGGACGUAAACUAUCCAAACCUCUCGUUGUGUAACAUUACAGAGUGACGUUACUUAGCAUUAGCUAGUGCACUAAGUAGUUCCUUAACCAGACACCAGCUAGUUUAACUUAGUCAGUGUAGUGAAGUGUAGUGUAAAAGUCUAUGUCCCAAGUUGCACCCUAUAUUCCCUAUACCCAGUGCUCUAUGGGCUCUGGUCCCAAAGUAGUGCACUAUAUAGACGAUAGGGUACCAUUUGGGAAACACUUUUUAAGGGAUCUCUAGCUUCCUGUUACCUCUUUUGUUCUUAAGUAGAGUGCAGUAGUGUUAGACACUUUGGUAAUCAGUCAUUCAGUCACUGUACAGUCAAUGUGUUGUCUUGUUUGGUCAUCAUGUCAUGCUCAGUCCCUGGAUGUGGACUUCUUGCAGGUACCAUGGACGGAAAUUCGAAGUGUUCACAGUAGAGUUGCAAAAUUCAGGUUAACUUUUGAAAAAAAAAAUCCCAUGUUGUCCAGAAAUCCCGGUUGGAGGAUUCACAGAUUUCUUUGCUUAUUCCCAUCUGAAUCGAGGAAUAUUCAAACCAGGACUCUAAAGUGCGUAGUUUUCUUAACUGCGACCAAUCCGACAAAAUAUUUCGCUGUGCGACCAGGAGUUUGAUUUUGUGAGCACUGUUCGAAUAGGAAAAAAAAUGUCCCGGUUAAUAUUUGGUGUAAUGAUAAGGCUUGGCUGUACCGUUUUUUUCCCAGUGCCCUAGAGAAUCAAGUGAUUUGAUAACGUCAUGGUUGCACUAUCACUACAGAGAAAACGGGUUUGCCCAACUAGAUCAUAAGGUCUGACCCAUGUUACCGACGCAACAUUUGACCCAUGUUACCGACGCAGAAGUUUGUGUCUUGUUAGGAUUCUGGAAGGACAGAUAGCUAGCAACAAUGACAAGAAACUGUCAUGUGGGGGAAUCAUAAAUGUCUUAUUUUGAGAUGUUUUGACCAGUUUCAUGUCAAUGCUAAUAUGACUCAAAUUCGCUAGGGAGCUAACCAACAACUCCAACAAUGUAUUUGAGAGACAAGUGAUCGUUGUGCACAUUUAUUUCGUUUUUAAAUAAACAUUGGGAGACAAAA
Long non-coding RNA from Salvelinus fontinalis (brook trout), 7930 nucleotides. RefSeq lists it as uncharacterized. The record is from RefSeq and is a predicted model, not a curated record. Lineage: Eukaryota; Metazoa; Chordata; Actinopteri; Salmoniformes; Salmonidae. The transcript is spliced from 2 exons.